Molecule: long non-coding RNA, 1584 nt
Filed under: Anas platyrhynchos platyrhynchos (common mallard)
Lineage: Eukaryota; Metazoa; Chordata; Aves; Anseriformes; Anatidae
Description: lncRNA (ENSAPLG00000021430.1)
Source: RNAcentral
UGGCCACCUGGAAGCACUGGAAAGGGGCCAGGUCCGUGCUGAAAGCUGAGCACCUGCCUUUGGCUAUCUGGGGCCCUGGCUUGGCACACCAGCAAGAGGAGCCCACGUUGGCUGCACAGGAUGCUGACCUUCCCCGUGCUGCAAAGAAACCCCAAGCUUUCCAGCUAUAAAACGCUGAUGUCAUAAAAGUAACUCGCAUAUUGGGAAAAUAAAUUAGCAUUUUGAAGUGCAUGCAACUGCACUGGUCUGCUGCACUUUCUGAUCAGCACUCAGGGGUGAUUUGGCUUCCCAGUGCCUGUUCAGCACUUGGUGUAAUCGGGUCCUGGUCCAGGAGGACUGAUGCUCAGGGCUGUGGGGUGCUGAGGGCUUUGUGAUACAUGGCCAUCUGUGACGAGCUUUGUGAGUUCUCUCUGAAUUUCCAUCCUGACCCCCCUGCAUCUGUUCCUCCCCCCAGCCUGCCCUGGGUGUGGAUCAGUGCUGAAUGAGGGGCUCUGCUGGGCUCCCUCCCCUACUGGACCAGUACCAGACUCUGCAGCACGUCUGGGAACAAUCUGCAAACUCACUGACAGCAGGCUUGAGAACGGGUUAAGGAAAGGAAACUGAAUCCAUCAUCUCCUCUCCAAACCAAAGUCAAACCAUAUUGAUUUGGGCAUUGUUCAUUGUAUGUUUAAUUUGCAGUUGAACUGAAGCUGUUCUCAGCCUGCAGCAACCAGCAAGCAUACUGCCCUUUUUUUAAGGCUACUUCUUCUCACUGGGGCUGUUUCCUAUGUAGUGAGCAUGAGAGUCUUUACCUGAGUUUAAAAAAAUCCAUCUUAUACAGAAAGACCCCCACUGCCGACAGCUUCUUCCUAGGAACCCUUCUGUAUUUGCUUUGUCCGGCCGCUUUCUGAGUUUCCUUUUAAAGGUCACGGAGAGCCAUAAAAUCUUUUUUUCCCAUUAUUGCACACUUUAAAACAAUAGAUUCCUUUCCCCAGUCAAUUGGACUGGGUUUAUUAGACGAAGAGGUGAAUUUCUGUAGCAAUUAGUCAUUACAACAUUAUUCACUCGAAAAAUAGAAAUAUGCUACUCUAUAGUCUGGAUUGCAUUUAAAACACAAAAAGCCUAAUGAAUGUGCAGGGAGGGGAAAGCAAGCAGCAGCCUGUGAGGCAUGAGCCCAGGCUGUUGUUUUACAUUUGACUUGUUCCAGGGGAACCUGAAAUAAUGCCUCUGCCUAGGUUUAGGGCAGGGGAACAUGCUGUCCUCUGCACAUCUUGUGGGGUAGCUGAGACUGCACCAAGCACCUGAAAUGGCAUUUUAAGGUCAAAUCACCACCUUUUAGUCUUACAAAAUCAGGCCAGAAACUCCCAAGGGGCCAGGCUUCCCUGAAGGUCACUGAUGUGCAUGGGAAGGUAGUGAAGGAAGGAUCUCGGUAGUGAGAGCACCCGGUUUGCCCACUUGCUGCUCAAGGUAAGCUUCACAGCCUAUUAAGGACCAGCAAAUUAGAGUAAAACUUGGAUUCAAUCUAGAUCCAAACCCCCUAGCUCAGGCUCAUCACUACAAUAACAGAAAAAAAAAAUAAAUAAAGCUCCUCUGAGCUUCUAACCA